Molecule: ribosomal RNA, 1821 nt
Filed under: Triticum aestivum (bread wheat)
Lineage: Eukaryota; Viridiplantae; Streptophyta; Magnoliopsida; Poales; Poaceae
Description: partial small subunit ribosomal RNA
Source: RNAcentral
AUGACUGCUCUAAACACCUUUUGUGAUUCAGAUUCUUGCGCCCCCAGAUACAAGCCAAGCAGAACGGGCCUCCACAGGCCUCGUGCACAAAGCUCGAUCAUGGCCACAGCGGCGGCGCGGUUACUCAUCGCCUGCCUCAACGUCGCCUUCUUGCUCAUGGCCUUCUUCUUCUGCGUCUCGCGCCCUGCCGUGCCGCGGGAUUCGGCGACGUCCAUGAACGGCUGGAGCGGCGACGAGCGCGAGGGGCACGGCCAUGGCGGCGGCUGCGACGGUGCUCACCGGCGGCUGGAGGUUGACAAGGACAGGUGCGGCUACGACGCCGCUACAUCAUCGUCAGUUGCCGGCCGGUGCUACCCGCGGGGACGGGGCUACGUCGAUUACCUGUACCUGUUCUACUGCGUCUGCGGCGACGAGCACCGGGCCCUUGGGUACGCCGCGAUGGCCGCGUGGCUCGCCGUGCUCUUCUACGUCCUGGGCGACACCGCGGCGGUCUACUUCUGCUCCAGCCUCGAGGGCCUCUCGCGGCUGCUCCGCCUGUCCCCGGCCGUGGCCGGCGUGACGCUCCUGUCGCUGGGCAACGGCGCGCCGGACGCGCUCUCCACCGUCGCCUCCUUCGCGUCGGGCGGCACCGGGAAGGGAGCGAGCACCGCCGUGGGGCUCAACGGCUUGCUCGGCGGCGCGCUGUUCGUGUCCUCCGCCGUGCUCGGCGUCAUCUGCCUCCGCGUCGGCGGCCGCGGCGUCGCCAUCGACAGAGGCAGCUUCUUCCGGGACGCGUGCUUCCUCCUCAUCGCCCUCGCCGCCGUCGCCGUUGUCCUCGCCGCGGGCGAGGUCAGCAUUUGGGGCGCCCUCGCCUUCACCUCCCUCUACCUCGUAUACGUCCUCGUCGUCGUCUUUAUCCACGGCAGAUCGCACGACGGAGAGGCAGAGGCGGCGUGGGUCGACACCACCGCCUCGUCGGAGCUCUGCAACGUCGUGGAGACGGAUUUUUACCCCGACCAAGAACCGCUGCUCCCCGAAAGGGCGCCCCUCCUGCAGUACUACGCCGGCGACGCAACGAAGAAAAAGAAGGGCGUGUUCUGGUCGGCGGUGCGCGUGCUGGAGCUACCUCUGUACCUCCCGCGGCGGCUGACCAUACCGGACGCGAGCGAGGAGCGGUGGAGCAAGCCGGCCGCGGUCGCCGCGGCGACCCUUUCCCCUGUCUUCCUCUCUUGCCUCUGGAGCCACGCCACCGGGAGCCCGCCCCUCGCCCUCCUCCUCGGCGGCAUCGCCGGCCUGUCCCUGGGCCUCCUCGCCUUCCUCAGCACGGAGGCUGAUGCCCCGCCGACGAAAUUCCUCUCGGCCUGGCUCGCCGGUGGGUUCGUCAUGAGCGUGGCCUGGGAGUACGUCAUCGCGAACGAGCUCCUCUCCCUUCUUGUGUCCGCCGGCCUGGUGCUGGGUGUGGAUCCGGCGACGCUGGGGAUGACAGUUCUAGCAUGGGGCAACUCGCUGGGCGACCUCAUCGCGAACGUGGCCGUGGCCGUGGCGGCGCGCCGCGGUGGAGCCCAGGUGGCCGUAGCAGGUUGCUACGGCGGGCCGGUGUUCAACGUCCUCGUGGGGCUGGGCCUGUCUCUGUUGCUGUCUUGCUGGGCCGGGUACCCGAAGCCCGUAGCGAUACCCUGGGAGCCCAGGCUCUACCAGACGCUAGGCUGGGUGGCUGCUGGGCUUUUGUGGGCCUUCUUCAUGCUCCCGAGAAGGGGCAUGAAGGUGGGUAGGACACUGGGCUUUGGGCUCCUGGCCAUAUACUUGUGUUUCUUGUGUACUACUCCCUCCCUUUUUGCUUAA